ACACCAAAGCCAGACAAGGACAUUAUAAGAAAACUACAGAUGACUAUUUAUGAAUACAAAUGCAAAAAUCCUCAAGAAAAUACUAGCAGUCCAAAUUCUGCAGCACAUUAAAAGGAUUAUAAACCAUGAUCAGAUAAGAUUUAUGCCACAAAUGCAAGCAUAGUUCAACAUAAGAAAAUCAAUCAAGGUAGUAAUACACCACAUCAAUAGAAUGAAGGGAAAAAAUCUACAUGAUCAUCUCAAUUGAUACAGAAAAAUAGUUUUAAAAAUUUAACACCUCUCAGUAUAAAACACUCAGAAAAAUAGGAGUAGAAGGAACUUUCUCAACCUGAUAAAAGGUAUUUAUAAAAAAUUCACAGUUGACAUCAUAAUGGUAAAAGACUGAAAGUGUUCCUCCAAAGUUCAGGCACAAGACAAAGAUGCCUCUUUCUCCACUGCUAUUCAACACCGUACUGGAAAUUCUAGUCAGGUCAAUUUGGCAAGAAAAAGAAAAUGUAUCCAAAUUGGAAAGGAAAAAGAAAAAAACAUUCACAGAUGACAUGAUCAUAUAUAUAUAUACAGAAAACUGCUGACUACAGAAAAAUCUACUUAAGCUAAUAAAUGAAUGCAGCAAAUUUGCAGAAUACAAGAGCAACAUCCAAAAAUCAAUUGUAAUUCUAUACACUAGCAAUGAACAACCCAAAAAGAAAAUUAAGAAAACAUUUGCAUUUAUCAUAGUAUCCAAAAGAACAAAACACUUACGAAUAAAUUAAACCAAAGAGGCCAAAAACUGUGUACUGAAAACUGCUAAACAUUGCUGAAUUAAAUUUUAAAAACAUCCCUUAUUUAUGGAUUGGAAGACAAUAUUGUUUAAGAUGGCAAUACCACCAAAAGAGAUCUACAGGUUCAAUGCAAUCCAUAUCAAAAUUUCAAAGGCCUUUCUUGAAGAAAUGUAAAGGCCAAUGCUCAAAUUCAUUUGGAAUUGCAGGGGAGCUUGAAUAGCCAAAACAGUCUUGAAAAGGACAAUGUUGGAGGACUCAUACUUCCUGAUUUCAAUACUUUCUACAAAGCUACAGUAAUCAAAACGAAUGCAGUGUUGUCUUAAGGAUAGACAUAUAGGACAAAUGGGAUAGAACUGAGAGUACAGAAAUAAACCUAUAUAUCUACAGCCAACUGAUUUUCAACAAAGGUGACAAAACCAUUCAAUGGAGAAAGAAUAAUUUCUUCAUCAAUUGGUGCUGAGACAUCUGGAUAAAAUAGGAAAAAUAAUGAAGUUGGACCCCUAACUCACACCAUGUACAAAAAUGAACUCAAAAUGGAUCAAUGAUAAAUAUAAGAGCUAAAGUCUUAAAAUUCUUAUAAGGAAACAUAAGAGUAAAUCAUGUUCAUUGGCAAUGGUUUCUUAAAUAUGACAUGAAAAGCACAAGCAACAAAAGAAAAAAUAGAUAUUUGGACUUCAUUAAAAUUAAAAACUUUGUGCUUCAAAGGAUACCAGCAAAAAGAAAGUGAAUAGAGACCUAAAGGAUGAGAGAUAAAUAUUUGCAGAUCACACAUCUGAUAAUGGUCUUGGAUUCAGAAUAUAUAAAGAUCUCUUACAAUUCAGCAAUAACAAAAAGAAAAACAACCCAAUUAAAAAAUAGACGAAGUACUUGAAUAGUCAUUUAUCUUAAUAAGAUAUAUAAAUGGCCAGCUAGCAUAUGAACUGAUGCUCAACGUCUUCAGUCAUCAGGGAAAUGAAUAUAAAAACCAUGAUGAGAUACCACUUCACACUCACUAGGAUGGCUAUUUAAAAGAAAAAAAAAAACAGAAAGUAACAAGUGUUGGUGAGGAUGUGGACAAAUAGGAACCCUGAUACAUUGCUGAUGAUCACAUAAAAUGGUGUAGCUGCUAUGAAAAUCAGUUUGGUCGUUUCCAAGUCAGUUAAACAUAGACAUACCAUAUGACUCAUCAACCUUCCUCCUAGGCAUAUGCCUAAGAGAAGUGAAACAUUCAUACAAAAACUUGUAAAAAACCUUCCUAGUAGCAUUUUAUUCAUAAUAGCUAAAAACUAGAAACAACCCACAUUUUCAUUGACUGGUAACUGGAUAAACACAAUGUGGUAUAUCCAUAUAAUGGAAUAUUUGUCAACAAUAUAAAGGAAGAACCAUGAAGGGGGUCAUUUGACAUCAUUCUUGGAAUGCUGAAGUCUUCUUACAUCUGAUUCUGAUUUCCUCUCCAUCAAAGAAUUUAUGAUAAUUAUAAUUAAAUAAUGCCACUGUACAAUUAAAUAAUACAGUCCUACAAUUGUAUUAUUAAUAACCAUUUAUCUACAUGGUACAAUGUAAGGUCUAUAAUGUCUUGUUUAUCACAUCACCUAGAAUGGUGUAAUGCCUAUAUUGAAGAAUCAGUAAGAUGUAACAAAUUGUGAGGACAUAUUUAUAUAGUUACACUGUUUUUUAACAAAUUUAUGCAUUUUAUAUUUUACUUAUUUUCAGAGGUAUAUUAUUUUUGUUAUUCUUACCAGUUAAGCUAUUCUUUUUAUUAUGCUAUAUAAAAUAUUUAAUGGUAUAUAAGCUUUCUUUUUUAUAAAUUUUAGCUGCAUAAUAUACACAAUUUUAAUAUAAUGCUAAUUUUUAAAGAAAAAAAAUUGAAAUGUAAUAGAUAAUACUAAAUAGUAAAGAUGAAAGCCAUACAAAAUGGGAUAAAGUAUAGAAUAAAUUUCCUAUUUGUCUCAGCAUAUUUUCCAUUCCACUUCUCCAGAGGGAGUCACAUAAUCUGUUUCUUAAGAUUCAUGAUAUAAUAGUCUGUGUGUGGAGUUCCCGUCGUGGCGCAGUGGUUGACGAAUCCGACUAGGAACCAUGAGGUUGCGGGUUCGGUCCCUGCCCUUGCUCAGUGGGUUAAGGAUCCGGCGUUGCCGUGAGCUGUGGUGUAGGUCGCAGAUGCGGCUCGGAUCCCGCGUUGCUGUGGCUCUGGCGUAGGCUGGUGUCACAGCUCCGAUUAGACCCCUAGCCUGGGAACCUCCAUAUGCCGCAGGAGCGGCCCAACAAAU
Molecule: long non-coding RNA, 3007 nt
Filed under: Sus scrofa (pig)
Lineage: Eukaryota; Metazoa; Chordata; Mammalia; Artiodactyla; Suidae
Description: lncRNA (ENSSSCG00000061549.1, ENSSSCG00130021937.1)
Source: RNAcentral